UGUGUCACUCCAGACUGCUUUAUUAGUGGGAGGGAAAUAUGCUUCUCUUUCAUUUAAUCUGAGGUCAUUUUGAUUUUCCUGUAAUAUGCAGCUGAACUUGAUCUUCAGUGGUAUAGAAGUACAGAGAUGAUGUUUUAGUCACCCUUCAUUGAAAAUAUGUUUCACAGUCUCAAUACAGCAGGUUCAAUUGAAAAAUAUAUUUAUUGAAUUGAACUUCAAAAACCACUAGAAGGGCUCAGAAUUCUCCACUGAGGUAUACACCAAAGUUCCUCCUGGUCUUAUUGUCUACAUCUAAUUAAAUUCAUUCCAAAUAAAAUUUAUAAUUGUUUCUUUUCAGUCUUUCUUGAACAGAGGUUUCAUAAUAGGAAAAUAUUUAAAUAAAAUGCUUUAUGAAUAUUCCAUAUGCUUAAAUAUAUUUUAUUAGCUUUUGAAUAAAAGGUGACCAAAGUAUUGUUUUCUGCCUUUUAUUGAAAACAUAAAGCUUUAGCUUUAUUAUUAGGGAUUAAAACAGCUUUAAAAAGAAGACCUAAACUGAAAACAAGUUAGUAUUACAAUGUAUUUUCUGUUAAGAUAAUAUAAUGUAUAU
Molecule: long non-coding RNA, 586 nt
Filed under: Bos taurus (domestic cattle)
Lineage: Eukaryota; Metazoa; Chordata; Mammalia; Artiodactyla; Bovidae
Description: long non-coding RNA NONBTAT020614
Source: RNAcentral